Molecule: ribosomal RNA, 245 nt
Filed under: uncultured bacterium
Lineage: Bacteria
Description: partial 16S ribosomal RNA
Rfam family: Bacterial small subunit ribosomal RNA
Source: RNAcentral
AGCAACGCGUGGAAAACCUGCCGUAUACUGGGGGAUAACACUUAGAAAUAGGUGCUAAUACCGCAUAAGCGCACAGCUUCGCAUGAAGUGGUGUGAAAAACUCUGGUGGUAUACGAUGGUUCCGCGUCUGAUUAGCUUGUUGGUGGGGUAAUGGCUCACCAAGGCGACGAUCAGUAGCCGGCCUGAGAGGGUGAACGGCCACAUUGGGACUGAGACACGGCCCAAACUCCUACGGAAGGCAGCAG